CCGAUGCCGCCGUUGAGGCUCUCAUAGAUGCCUUUCGAGACGCCGCCCUCGCGCGAAAAGAAUGCGUGGCGCAGACCCGGCACAGCCGACAACAGCGACGACGUAAAUGUCAUGAUUUCGUGUCCUGCUCGGACAGCGCUGCGAGCGUUGCGAUGGCGGGGUGCGAAAUGCCGAGCACCUUGAACAGCGAGCCCAUUCCUUCCGGGCUCGGGCCGGUGAGGCGGGCCAGUCCUGCGGUAAUCAGC
This 245-nucleotide unclassified non-coding RNA is filed under the name Hevea brasiliensis (rubber tree). Lineage: Eukaryota; Viridiplantae; Streptophyta; Magnoliopsida; Malpighiales; Euphorbiaceae. The record is from RNAcentral.